This 29404-nucleotide long non-coding RNA is filed under the name Cucumis sativus (cucumber). RNAcentral's name for it is "long non-coding RNA (CSAT_LNC001987)". Lineage: Eukaryota; Viridiplantae; Streptophyta; Magnoliopsida; Cucurbitales; Cucurbitaceae. The record is from RNAcentral.
UCAGUUUAGAUCGCUAAAGAAACCCUAACUUCAUCCCCUUAUAAAUACCUCGUCUUCGCCCACUUCGCUAAUCGACCCUUCCCUUCAUCUCUAUUCUCUUCAUUCCCCUACCCAUCGCUUUAUGCUUCCCCCAUUUCUUUCUUCAACUUCUUAACCAAAAGCAUCCACUAUGACUCCCUCUGCUUCUUUAUCCAUGGCAUCGGGAGUACGAAAAUAUGCGAAAUCGAUUUCAAAUCGGUACUACAUGGACAGGCAUUCCCGACAUAUCUACGGGUUUUGCCAUUUCUCGUUGGUUCCACAGAUUUCUUACUUCCAUAGCCCUUGCUGAACUGAUUUCUUGUUUCUCACUCUUUUUAUUUAGUUUGGUUUUAUGAAACCCAUCUGCUCGAUGAUGAUUGUUUUUGCUUUAACCACACCGAAGCGAGCUGAGGCUGUGUCCUGAUCCUCAUUCAUUUAAGCUUUUGAGGUGAUUUCCUUCUUAUUAUUGGUUUUCGCCUGACGACUCUUACUUCUAUGAUUAGAGGAAUUUUUCUUUUUUUAAUUUCCUCUUCUUUUAGAGAGAAGACGAAGGGAAUUCCAAUUGUUUGAAGUGAUUAAUUUCUGGGCUUAAACGUUUUAGGAUUCACCAGCUUCGAGUUUUCGCAUGUGGAAAACCUUGGCCUUUUUCUGAGAGCAAUUGUUGGUUUUUAAAAUAUUUCAGUUUGUCAUUGAUUGUAUUUUCUGAUGCUUUUGCUUUUGAAUAUCAAUGAUUCAAAUUGCUUCUGUUUGUUUGAAAAUUUCCAUUUAUUUUCUCGGUAAAUAAUUUGUCUCACAAUUUGCAACACAUAAUAUCUUCCUUUGAAAGUGUUUAUUGAUCGGAUUUGAUAGGUAAUGAUAUUAAAUCUUUUCACGUUUAGUUGGGAUAUGAUUUCAACUGGUUAGAAUUGUUUUUGAAUCCAUUGUAUUUUUAAAACCAUUCUAAAACAUUAUCUCAAAUUGAAUGAUUUCAACCUUAGUGAUGAUUGAUUUUUAUAUAAUCAUACUUAUGUUUAUUACUAUUAUUAAUUUUUUAUGUUCUUAGAUUUUGAGAACUAACAUUCUGUCUGUGCUCUGAGAAAUGAAUACUUGGGUGGUUGCUUUGAUUGAAAUUAUGCCUUUGUAUUUCGGCUGUUGAGUCUCUGAAUUUUCAAGAUGCAAUGCUGCAGCCAUCAUCAUACAAUCUCAACCAGGGAAUUAUAUAUUUAGAAGAUUAGAUCAACAAACUGGUUGGUUCAAAGGAACACAAACUUCAAUUCAAUUGAAGUAACAGCAAUGGUUAAUGAAAGUCGGACCACUGUGAUAAAAGAAAAAUAAUUAAAAUCUUUCAAAAUAUUAACUCUUCCAGAAAUAACAAUUUAUUAGAAUCUAUUACUAAAAUUAGUCUUUGAACAUUGUUAAUAUUAACAAAAUCCAUAACAAAUAGAUAUGAAAUUAAAAGUUAAGUCUAUAUAUGUUUAAAUCUUACUUUUGUAUUUCUUAAAGAAAUGAUUUUUUCAACUAUGAUUAUUAGACUUUAUAUUUUUAUUGACAGAUGCUGUAAUAUAUAUUUUUUCUUCUAAUAUUUGCAACCAUCUCAAUUAACUCUUCCCUAUUUAUAAUUCUCUCAACUCCAUGCAUAAAUAUAAUAUUUGUAACUCUAUAAUAAAUGUAUUUAUUUUAGUAAGGAGUAUAAAAAAAUAAGCAAGAUAGAUGUAAAAAACGUUGUUAAAUACAUUGUAUAUUGUGACCUGUGAAAUCUAUUGUAUUGUAUUGGUUAGAACAUUAUCAAAUAAACAAUUGAAUUCAUCGUCUUUUUCUCAAAGGAAAAUGGAUAAGAAAUAUUUGUUAAACUAAAAGAGGCAUGUUUGAAAAAUUCAAAGUUAAAAACAGUUAUAAUAUUUUAUAGCUAAGAUUUUUCUUUGAUAUUAGAAAAUAAAUUGAAAAAAAGACUUCUGGAUUAGCAUGAAAUAAGGCGAUGAAAUUGCUUUAAGAAAUCAUUAAAAAAAAAAAAUGCAAACAAUAUUUUGGAGAAUAAUAUAAAAUAUUGCACUAAAAAACUUUUGUAUAAAUUUAAUUUUUUAAAAUUUUGUUUCUCUAUUUGGUUUUUUUAAUGCUGUCACAAAAUAAUGGAAGAUAUGAAAAGAGUUUUUUUAAAGAAUUGUUGCAAAAAUAAAAGAGCUUUUUUCAAGAUUGUUUGGAAGAUAUGGCUGGACGAUAGUUUGGUAGAUAUGGCUAGACGAUGGGAAAGAAAAAUAAUGGAAAGGAAAAGAAAAAGUGGAAAGAAAAGGUAAAAUUUAUGGGAAAAAUUGCACAAGAAAUAAUGAAAAAAAUAUAGUGACAUUUAUGGAUGUGUAACCAAAUAUAGUGACAUUUUCUUUCUUUUCUUUUAUUUUUUUUUGAAAUUAUGAUUUUUGUUUUCAAUUAGUAUUAUUUUUUUAAAGUAUUAUUUGGUUCGAUCGUGUACAAAAUAUAAAAGAUCGUUGAGAUAUUGUUGUUAUAUAUUUAGAUUGCCGAAUAUUGAACAAAUAUAAACUAUCUUGAACAAAAAUCUAAACUAUCAAAUAUAAAAAGAUCUUGAACAAAAAUCUAAACUAUCAAAUAUAAAAGAUCUUGAACAAAAAUCAUUGGAUAUUGGUACAUGAUCUAUAUUUAUAUUUGAUACAUGAUCUUGAAAAAAACCAUUGGAAUAUUGAUACACACGAUAGUUCAAAUUUUGGUACAUGAUCACAUACCAAAGUUAAUAUUUGAUAGUUGCGUGUUGACCAGAACAUUUUUGGUAUUUUUAACGAUCAUAUUAGAUUUCUUAUAGGAUUUGAAUAUGUUAAUAAAUUGAAAGAGAUCGAUUAAGUAAAUAAAACACACAUGCACAAAAAGUAAUGAAAUGAAAUUCAAGAUGCAACAAGAAGCGAUGCAAAGUUACAACCUACGACAAAGAGCAUAAAGAUAUUGUAAAAGAAGAAUUGGCAGAUUGACUAGAGCUCGUAAUAUGCUCUCCAAAGUAGCUCAUCCUAUACCUACUAACAAUUGUAUUUUACUUCCAACCUAGGGUUAGCUACUGGUAACCUCAACUAAGAAUUAAAGAGAGAAUACACAACCUACUUACUUUCAUGCUUGAGGCUCACAAAACCCGAGAAAGUAUUGUACAAGUAGAGUAGUACAUGCCUAUGUAGGAAGAAGAUUUUAUCAAAUUUUAAAUUUUGAUUGAGUAUAGGCGUCAACAAAUGGGUAGAAAAUUGAAAUUAUACUUCGCACAUGAUAAAAGCCAAUUUUGUCACAAGAAAACUCUUUAUUUCCUAACUGCUACAUAGUUACUCAUACAUUAGAGUAUGAACAUAAUAGUUACUCAACUUACAAAGAGAGGUACGAUUGACCUGAAACUAGUGGAAAAAGAGUAUACACAAGCUAAGCUAAAAUACACUCUUUGACAAGGAUAAGGAAAUAGAAAGGUAACUUCUCUCGAAAGUUUGAUUGAUACAUGUACAUCUACUAAUUGAAGAAAAGGUGAUGGAGCCGUCAACAUAAGAUCAUGGGUUAAAAGUGAGGCAAGUGAGAUAAAGCAAUUGGCGUAGGCACAUACGAGUAGUAUGGGUCAUUCAUUAUGAUGGUAAAGCAAAUGAUUCUUUGUUUUAAGAUCUUAAUCUUGUUAUUCACACUAAUCUCCGUACUUAUUGAUCGUUAUGCUAUUUUCUUCUUUUUAGGAAGAAAAAUUACUUAUCUUAUCUUAUCUUUAUUUUUUUUCUCUAUUGUAUCUAUACUUUUAGUGAGAAGGGCCCUUACUCCGUCCUACACGGUAUACUACUAUCGAACCCUACCAGACAACCUAUUAGCCACAAUGGAAUCAUACCAUCAACGUCAAAUUGAACGGAAAAUUCAAAAGUUAUAUUAGCCACAAUGUAUUAAGUUGGAAUCUUCUUAUCCUUAGAGCAUGCAAGUAACCUAUGUAAAUACCGAGGAAAAAGCUCUAUCUCAAGGACUUGGAUCGUAACCUUUAAAGAGUUGGACAUCACACACCCCUCUCCCUCUAGUUGAGCUUCUUCUCCCCUUUGCUUAUUUUCACAGGUGCACAUGUCCCGAUCUUGACUCUAAAAGAAAGGAUAGAAAUAGUAAAACCGAUAGAGAGAAAAAUUUGACGAGGUUCAAACUUCCAUCUUUAGAGUCAAAAGUGACUAAAAACCAUCUAGUAGAGCUCUCAAAGACAUCUCGUACCCUCUAAGUUUCAUCACCCUUCAAUCUUUCCAUCCCAAGCAAAGCAUGAUUUUCUUCUUUAGCAUAUUUUUGUUUACAAUUUUCUUCAAUUUUCAACUUAUACACAUUUUUAUUGUAUAACUAUCUUAUAUUAUUUAGUUAUUUAGUUUUUAUAACUAAUACUCUUUAAUUUAAGACAUUACUUAUGUUAAUGGAGAUAUCAAAAUAUAAAAUGAUGUACACUGUGGAAAUACUAAGAAAGAUGUGACAAAAAUAUUUGUGAAAAUAAGUUAAGCAAUAACAAAGAUAUAUUGAGAAACUUGCACAGUGGCAAUGAGUUUCCAUUAUUAAAUAUAGAUCAAUAUGGAUAAACAUAUGCUCUCUUGUAUCAUAGUAAUCUUCUUCUGCAGUAUUGAGAAAGAAGGAUAUUAAAUUAAUUAUCUAUCUAUCUUCAUCAAGCAAUACAUAGUAAAACAAUACCCCAUGUUUUGCUUAAAAAGAUGUAUAAAAAUAUAUAGUAGUUGCCGUAAUUAAUAUUAAAAUUGCAAACCAUUAUAUUUGAUUAUGGUCCACCAACCUCUGAAGCACACUCUGAUGUCCACUAACCAUGGAAGUAUUAACUGCCACAAAGCCAUGGAGAAAAAGUAAAUUUUAAUAGUAUGAAGUUUGUUUUUAAAAUUAUAAAAUUAACAUUCAAUUGAAAUUGAUUUAAUACCUACUGAGAAUUACUUUUAUUCACUUUAGAUAAAAGAAAAAAAUAAUAAUUGGUAAAAGAUUUGAAGGAUAGGAAUAUGAAAAAUAUAAAUCUACACAAAACAUUUACUAAAUGUGGCUAAUAUCUAUGAACCCACAUUCUACCAUUUAGUAAAAUUCAAAGAAUGGAGAGAUGCAAUGGAAGAUGAAAUCAAGCCAUGGAAAGAAAUAAAACUUGGAUAGUUGUAACACUACCAAAAAAUAGUCAGGCAAUGAGAAUCAAAUGGGUCUACAAGGUGAAAUAUACAGCUAAUGGAUGAGUUGAUCGAUACAAGACACGUCCAAUGGCAAAGGGAUACAAUCAACAAGAAGGUAUUGAUUUCUUUGAUACUUUCUCUCCAGUAGCUAAAUUUGUCAUUGUUAAGGUCCUUACAUUAGCCAUCACUUACAACUGGCCUUUGACACAAAUGGAUAUCAACAAUGCAUUUUUGAAUGGAUAUUUGUUUGAAGAAGUCCAUAUGAAACUACCAUUGGAUUAUAAGACAAAUCAAGUACCAAAAGAAGGAGAAAAACUUGAAUGCAAGCUAAAUAAAUAAAUAUAUGGUUUAAAGAAAGCAUUCAGACAAUGGUUUAUAAUAUUUUCCUCAACUGUUAGCACGUGACUUUAUUCAAUCAAAAUCAUAUUAUUCAUUGUUUACAAAAGUGCACGAUGAAACUUUUGUGGCACUUCUAGUAUAUGUUGAUGAUAUAAUAUUGACAAGUCUUUAUUCGAUAGAAACGCAAAUAGUAAUAUAGACAUACUCAAGAUCCAAAUACUUCUUAGAGUUUAGAACUAUCUUUUUUUCCAACCAAGAACUUCUGCUAUCUCAGUGCAAAUAUUGUCUCCAAAUCCUUGAAGAUGUAGGCUAUCCCAAUGCCAAACCAACUUCAUUACCCAUAAAUCCGAAUCUAAAACUUUCGAAGGACAAUAGAAGAUCUCUAUCUUAAAGAAGAAAGCAUAUGCUAUAGAAGAUUAAUAGGUAGGUUAUUAUAUCUACAAAUCUCAAGAUCAUACAUUUACUUUCUACACAAGCUAAGUCGAUUCUCGUAGAAUCCUACCCAAACACAUUUAAUUGUUGCACACCAUCUAUUGAGAUACUUGAAACAGUCACCUAGACAAAGCAAACAAGUCACUUGUUUCCACCUUCAAGCAUUUGUUAAUGUUUAUUGGAGAGCAUGAUUGGACAUUAGAUUUUCUGUUUUUGGCUUUUGCAUCUUUUUAGACAAUUUCUUGAUAUUAUGGAAAUUCAAAAAGCAACCAACUGUCUCCAAGUCUUCAGAUAAAGACUAGUAUAGAGCAUCAACUAAAGGUAACCCAGGGGUAAAACAAAAUAUUUACGAACAAAAUUUCAAAUUCUAUCCAAAAAGCUACAAUUUCUUGAUAUUAGAGGAGCACUUGUAUUUAAUGACUAGAGGUAACCCGGGGGUAAAAUAAUAAUUUGAUCUAACUGGUGUUACGAACACUCGUGAAUGACUAACUUAUUGUUAUUGGUCUAUAUCUAUAUUCCGUGGACACAAAAAUAUAUCUACAGUGAGAAGAGUUAAGUUGUGAGUCUUUAGUGGAGUGUACACACAAUUAACGAAUAUUGAUUAACGUGGUUAAUGAGUUUAGCCAAUUAACCUCAUAUUAUUGUAGCUUCUGUUCUGUAGGUUCAUUAGGUCCCCUUCCUAACUCGUAAAUGGUAAUGAGAUUUAUUUAUAUUGGUUGUAAUUUAAAAUAUUUAAAUUUACUUUGGGAAUUAGUAUAAUGUAUUAUGAUACAUUAUAAUAUAAAAUUUAUAUAUUUUUAUCAAAAUUUAUUAUAUAAAUUUAAUUUUGGAUAUGAUUCAAAAUUAAUUUAUUAAAGAUGAAAUAUUUGAAUGAGUUCAAAUAUUAAUUUAAUAUGAAUUGGAUUCAUAUUAAAAUUAUUGGUUAUGAGAGAAAUUUAUAUUUGAAUAUGAUUCAAAUUUAAUUUAAGUUAAAUAUAAGAUAUUUAAUUUAGCUAUUAAUUUGUCGGAUAAUUAAUUAAUAGUUUAAUUUAAUUUAAUUAAUUUAAAACUACAACAUAUUAGAGAUAUAUUAAUUAAAUAUGGGAAAUAUUAAUUAAUUAUUAAUUAUUAAUUAAUUAGUUGAUAUUAAAUUUGUACUAAUUUAAUAAUUUUUAAAUUAAUAGAAUCUGAUUAUUCUCUUCUAUUUGACAAAGGAAAGAGAGUUAUAAAUAUGCAAAAGAAAAACGAUUUUUCUUAAUCAAUAAGAACUAAUAAUUUUUCUUUUAUGCAAAAUCAUUUUCUCUUUACACUUUUUUCCAUUCCAAUUGGUUUUCCACAAACUAAUCUCAUCCUAGAGGAUAGGAUGGUCUUCAAUAAGUGGUGUUCUUAAGUCGGUGGAUUGUAGAUUCAGAGACGUCAACAAGGGUAAGUUCUCUAUAUCUUUUUAUUUAAAAAUAUGUUUAGUUUUUUAUUUAGAAUUUUAGUUCUAAAUAUUGCCAAUGUACCCAAAUAAAAUAUGAGGAAUGGUUCCGUAAAAUCUUUCGUUGUCAAGGACUUUUAUCCAUUCAAUGACAUGGUUCUUCGUCGAGAAAUUGUACUCACUAAAUGGGGUUUCAAUUGCAUAAUGCUUGUGCGAGUACUUCUGCAAUUCACUAGUUCCUUCCUUCUUUUAUUAAUUCCAUGUUGAGACACUGAAAACAGAGUAAAAACAAGCAUGAGUAUUUAUGUAAAGUAUAUUUUCAAGUAUUUAUGCAAUUUCAAUACAAACUACGAAUUUUGAUAUACUUGUUCAUAAUUUUAGCCCCAUUAUUCUAAUAAAAGAUGUUGCAAUAACGUGUAGAUCAAAUAUCACAUAUAUGAGACAUUCUAUUCUAAAUCACACAACAAGAAUAGAAUAUCUUAUCUAAGAUCACACAGCCAAUGAUAAGACAUCUCACACUAGAACACACAACAAGUGUGAGACAUUUGAUCGCAUAAGAUACACAAGAUCAUCUCAUGUCAUUAUUUCAGUUCAUAUUAAACUUCAUUCACAUUUUAAAAAAUGAGAAGACAUAAGAGAAGUCAUGUAACUCAGAGUUUCCAUAUAAAUACAUUUAAGGAUUUAAACAUAUUAAAAAUCAUUUUAUUUAUGAAAACAUUUUUAGGAAGAACCAUUCACAAUCAGCUAGCUUCUUCACCUAGCUUCUUAGUUGAGAACUUCCUUGUUGGAUCCAAGCUCGUGAUGAAUCUCUCAAAAUCUUGAAAUUCUCUUAAUUCUUUCUUAAGUGAAUACAAGAUAAAAGCAUGCAACUUCAAAACGGUCGUAAUUCAUCUAUUUAUAAGUCUCUCUGAUGAAACUUUUCAUGUAAAAAUGAUUACUUCUGUCCAACGGUGAGAAUCGACCAAUGUUAGAACACCACAUGUCAUUGUCAUUUUCUUGAUUUGGAUUGGGUGACAAAGUCAAAUCAAUUGGCAACCUUCUUACACGAGGAUGACAUCACUACUUCUGGGUAAAGGAAGCUCAAAUUGCAUGAAAGUUCAUCACAUAGCCUUCUCAUCACAUUACUUAAAACAGAAGACGCAAUUUACCAUGCAAUCUCUUCAAUCACUAACCUUUUUCAUGCGGCGAUCUCAUCGCAUAGGCCAUUAUUGUCGCAUAAAAUCUUAUCGUGUAAGGCAAAACAUGAUCAGGACAUUACAAAUUAUUUUAGUUUGGAUUAUAAUAGUAUGCAUUUGAGUUUUAAACUAUUUUAGUUUGAAAAGAAAAUAGUAAACACUAUAGCAAAUAAAUAAAUAAAUGAUGAAUGUAAAAUAGUAAAUUAUUGUAAACCAAAAGUCUAACUUUUUACCAAAAUGAUUACUCUCUCAAAUGUGGGGAGAAAUGUUGUAUUCAUAGAUAAAUAUGAAUACAAGGUUUAAACUACCCUUCUAACUUUCCUAUUUAAAAAACAACUCUCACCCUCUCAAAUAAUACAUAAAUACUCAAACAAUUGAAAGAUUUUAAAAUAGUGUUUCUUGUACCAACUGAAAUUUUUUAAAUAUUAUUUAUUUAUAUCAAUAUGUGGUUAUUAUAUAGUUGUUGAUCCAAACCUCACUUUAAAAUAAGUCAAAUGCAUAUAUUACUCUAAACUCAUUUUCCCAAAAAAUUCAAAUAUAAAUUUAAAAUGUGGAUUUGUUAAAUAAAAAUCAAAACGAAUAACUAAACCCUAAGGGAAUGUUUUGAGAAGGGUUGAGUUAUAUGUUUGAGGGAAGAGUUAUCAUAACUAGUUUUACCCUCCAACCUCCGUGUUCAACCCUUCCUCAACUCAUUGACAACCUUUCAUAAUUCCAUUUUUUAAAAUUACUAAUAUACCCUUCUUCUCCCUCUUCUUUAUCAGGGGAUGUGUUUUUUAGAAUUUUUUUUCGUAUUUAGAUCUUUUAGAUAUUCCCACCGUCAGUCAUCUUUUUAAAUAAAUAUAAGUUUAAAUACUAUUUAAUCCAUUUUUUUCAUUUAUAAUUUCUUUGUUUAUGAGUUUCGUUAAUUUUAAUCCUUUUAUUUUAAAAACACAACUUAUUUUUAACGUGUGAAUUUGGUACAACUACAUCAUUAAAAUUUUUAUUUCUUCCUUUACUCUUAAAUUAUGUAAUUUAUUGUGAUUAUACUCAAAAUUUUAAUUUAAUAACCUUCAAUCAACUCAAUGUCAUUAUAUUUUGUUAAUUAGCUUGAAUAUCCAAGGAAUGUCAAUUCAAUUAGAAAAUGGUAAAUUUUUAACAAACUACCACAAAUUGAUUAAAACAGGUAGCAAACUAUAAGAACUAUUUGAUUAAAUUAAAAAUUAGUUGGGCUCUAAUUUGAACAAACCUAUUAUUUAAAGAUGGUUUGUCUAUAUUUUUUCACUUUCAUAAUGUUAUUUUGGUUACUAACAUAAGUUUGAUUAAAUUAACAUAACAAAUCUUUUGUUAUAGAGAGGGAAGGUUCAUGAAUUUUUUACACAAUAAUUAUGCCAUAACGACUAAAAUAAAUAAUUUGAAAGUAUAUAAAUCACGGUUAAAAAAAUAAAAAUUAAAGUUAAUAUUUAAAAGUAGACUAAAAUAAACAGAAGAGAAACUUAAAACUAGAUUCAAUAUAAUUUUCUACUAGAAAACAAAACUAGAAUUGGUAAAAGCCUUUGAUUGUUAUUUUAUGUUUUCGUUACUUCACAUUUCCAAUAGUUAUUUGCACUUAUUUACAUAUUUACAGGUUGCGUGCCAUAUUCAUGAAAACCAAUUAAUUGAAAAAUGUAACGUAGACUUAAAAAGUAUUGAAAAUGAACGCGUAGUUAUAUAAAUUAAAACAAAUUGUUUUACGAAAUCUACGAUGAUUUGAUAAAUUAAGUAUACAAAAUUUGUAUACUGGAUUUAUAAUAUGAUUUUUUUAAAAAAAUAAGUUUCAUAACACUACGUACGUAAUCAUUUUUCAAACACAUCUUUAUCAUAAUAUCUCGUUAAUGGAACGUUUAAAUGGUGUAUAGAAAUGGUUGAAAAUCAUGAAGUUGGAAAUAGAGGAUAAGAGUAAACAAAAUCCUAACUGGAAAACUAAAACACAAUAAAUUUAGAGCAUUUCAUUUCACUUCACUGUUUCCUCUCUCUGCUCACAGAAAUAACUAAAACGCAAAAAAAUAAGAAAAAAAGAAAAAAGGGAAAAAGUUGCGAGCGUAUCUGAGAAGUUACUUUCGCGCCUCGUAUCAAAGAGACCACACCUUUUGGUUUUAAAUUUCUUCAUAGUUCUGAACUACAAGCGGUGUAGACGAAUUGGAAGACACAGAGUGAGAAUGCGAGGCCGAAAACAGUCGCAACGACCCAAAAAAUCUUCUGGUAGCUUUUUAUUACUUCACCUUUCUUCAUUCUGCUGUUUAUGAUUACAGAAAUUGAUCAUCCUCCUCUAAUUGUACUUCUUCUUUAUACUUCAACUCAUAGCUCCAUCUGAUAGGAUCAUACACACAUGUACAUGGAUUUCCCUUGUGUUUUUUCCGCUUCAUUUCCUAUGCAAUUGUUGCAGGAAAAUGAUCCUACUCUCGGUAUUUUCUGAUUUGUGUUUUGGGACCCCUUUUAAGCAUUUUUCCGUUUCAAUGAGAGGAAAAUAGAGUAGUACUGUUUUCCUUUUGCCUUUUCAUAUAACAAAAUUACAAGGGAGAAGGGGGUACUGUUUGUCGUAAAGUAAACUCGCUACCAACAAAUGCCAAAGAGGAGAUUGUAACAAGUUACUCCAAUACAAGGUCAUCCUCCUCAACAAUCUUUGUAGAUAUUUUAUCAUACUAUAUCUCGGAAGUAGUGGGACAAAAAGUAUUGUCGGUAUUAAUCAAUAGGGCUCGAGAUUUCCCCUGACAGUUGUCCUGGAAUGAGUUGGAUUUAGUAGGUGCGUUCAAGUUUUGAAUUUGGUCAUCAAUCAUUGAUUGUGGGGUUCUCGUGGUGUUCUGUUAGUCCCUAAAAUUUUUAAAACUUCAAUUACGUUGUUGAACUUUUUAAUUGUGAUUCUUUGUCGUACAAUACAAGAUUCUCCUCAAUAAAGUUGUUGGACUAAACGCCCAUAAGAAAGAAUAUAUAACAUAUGUAGAACAGAAGUAGAUUAUUUAAACGAAGUAGAGGGACUGUGAAAGAAGAAUAAUUUGAAAUUCCUAGGAUUAAGUGAUGUUAGAAAGUGGCUUCCAACCCUUUUGAAUUGAAAUAUUUAUUCUAUCUUAAGAGCUUCGUUAUACCUCUCCUUUCAUAUGCACCAAAACAAUCUUGAAAGGCCUUUUCCAUUACAUCUAGUAUAGGAAUAAUAUAACACCAAACUGAUCAACGCUUGCAGACAUAUAAACGAUAUACACUAGUGAGAAAUGUGAUCUAGGUAAUCUUUUUGAGAUGUCAUCGGUCAAGAAUCAAGAGUUUCCUAUAAUGAAGAAAAACUUGGAGGCUUGUUUUGGACAUUGUUUUCAGAAUGGCUUUAUAUUUUUGUUUUCAAGAUUUUAUGAUUUGAUGACUUCACUAGUUAAUAUUAUGGUGCGCAUUGAAACUUCUCUUCAUAAACUUUUGACUUUGAAACAAACAACAAAGAAACUAUAUGUUAAAUUACAUAAAGAAAAAAAGCUACUUAUCCAAACUUGUUUUAACUAAUCUUUGAUUUGUAUUACCCAAUUGAAACUUGAAAUUGGACUCAAAAUGCUCUUGAGGGCCUGAUAUUUUUUCCUCUUGUACCUCAUCAAACACAAUUGCGAUUUUUUUCUUCGAUUUUUUUCUUUUGUUCAAAUUCUUCCUCCAGUUCUUCCUCAACCUCCUUGGUCAACUCUUGCUUCUUCCUCUCUCGCUCUUUGGUCUCACUCUCACUUCUUCCUCUAGCUCAUUGAUUCGGGAAAAAAUUGCAGAAUGAAGAAAGAAGAGUAAAAAAAUUACAGAAGAAGAAGGGAGGGAAGAGAUUGCAAGGGAAGGGAAACAAUUGUGCAAGAAAGAAAAAAUGUACAGAGCUUGAAGGAAGAAGUGGAAGGAAGAAGUGGAAGGAAGACGAACCAGUAAAACAAAAAAAAAAAUAAAUGGUGAGAGAUUUUUGUACGAGGAGCAAGCAAGGAAAAAAGUUGCAGUGUGUGAUUAGAUUUUUUUUAAGAAAAAAACAGCAAAACAAAGUAGGAAGAAGUGCAUUUGGAGUUAAAGUGGUAAUUUCUCAUGGUGUUGACAUAAGCAUAGGGCCAAAAUUCAUUGGUUUCAACCUUGUGGUUAGUUUUGAUUUGGGCUCCUAUAAGGGGGCCUCUGUUCAAUUUUCCUGAAGUAUCUCUUGCGAAACAACUGUACCAGAUGAGAGGCCAGGAAAGUAUAUUACCAAAUGGUAAGACAAAUUCUUGUAAACCGUCCUGAUGAUGGUCUCCUAUGCCAGACAAAUUCUUGUAAAUGAGAACUCCUGUUAUUGUGCUUCUGGAAUCAAACUUAUGCUACAAAGCUAGAAUACCAUGAAGGAGAAUGUUGUGAUGUAGUGGAGAGCACGAGGAUGUUGGAAUAGAUAGAAAAAUUAUGCCUCAAUAUCUGUAUUAUAGUGUUGAGAGUUGAGACGCCGUUUGUAGCAUCUCCAUGCUACCACUUGGAGUCCCAACUGAAAAUGCACUCUACUUCCACUCAACAGUUGAUUUGUAGGAUUUGUAUGUUAGUGAUUCUGUGAGCUCGGGGGUAAAAUUUGUUGGCAACUAUCCUAUUUGGGGUUGAGAUUUUUAUUUGUUGUGUAAUCCUAGGCAACCAUUUUUUUAAAGAGAGAUUUGUAGUGUAAUUCUGACUUAUGGGUAAAACUUGCAGUUGCAUUAGACUGUUGAGUUAGGGGUGAACUAGUAUAUUUGGAUUGUUGUGUUUCUUUUCUUUUUUGUUUUUACCCUACGAUCUUGAUCUUUUCUGUUUGUUGAGUGCCUGAAUUAUUUAUAUCGCUUCAAAUUGCUUUAGUGUAGUCGAAGUUUAGUUUAUUUGUGCUUUCACUAUAUAUUUUUCUCCCAACAACUGUAGUUGGCAGAAAUGAAUUUGGAACGGAGUGUUUGUGGGUGUUUAGCUCUUACAACACUACGGAACGUUUUUGGAUAGGUAUUGAAGAUGGUGGUGAGGCCAUACCAGAUCCAGGAGGAAGCUGUUCACAGACCAGUACAGACAGAGGUGUCUUUUGGUCCAUAAAUUGCCUAUUUGUUUUGUUCUUUGAAAAAUUAUUCUUGCUGGGUUUAGCUCAUCUAUUAUGUUUUUAUUUCUAGAAACUUUAGCCGAUGUUUCAAGGGUGGCAGUGAGCAAGCUUCUAAGUCGUGCAUCUGGACGUUGCUUGUCAGGAAUAAGGAAACAUGCUCUGCGUCCAUGUGAUUUGGUCAGAAAGGCUUAUCAAGUUGAUUUAGAUCUAUAAAAUAUUUGUGCUUUGAAGUAGUGUCAUCACUUUUAAAUUGUAGUAGAACUUUAGUGGACUUUGCAUGUUCAGUUGUAUUGGUGAUAUAUAAUUAAAUUUGCCUUCAGCCACCAGCUUAAGCUUUUGGAUGAAUUGGUGGUUUAAUAUGGUAUUAGAGUAGGUGGUCCAGGGAGGUCCUUUGUUCAAACCCCUGCAUUGAAUUGGUGGUUUAAUUAGUUGGUUAAAGUAUCGUUUUUGAAAAAUUUUCAUUUGUUUAUUUCAUAGUCAAAAUCUACCAUUGGAAAAGAUGUAAAUCUUGCUAUGGACAAGAAGGUGACAUUGGAGACUGAGAGGUGCAAUGAAAAUGUAAUAGCGAGCUGUUCUGAGGACGUUGAUGUUCCUGAAGUAAAUUUACAGAAUUCUGUAUCAGAAGUUUUAGAAGAUUUGGAUGAUUCCGAUUGGGAAGAUGGUUGUGUUCGACCUUUGGAUGGGACAGAGUCUCAACCAUUGACUAUUGAAAUUAGUGAGAUACAGGAGAUCCCUGACUCUACCAAGAGGAAACCGAUUCGUCGAGCUUCUGCUGCUGAUAAGGUGAAUUUCUCAACUUGAAGUAGUGGGGUUGUCAUCUUACUAAAGAUUCUUUAUGUGCUUAAAUUUUUAGAUGAUUGUCGUCUUUUGCAGGAAAUUGCUGAGUUUGUGCAUAAAGUUCAUUUGCUUUGCUUACUUGGACGGGGUAGAUUAAUUGACCGAGCUUGCAAUGACCCUCUUAUUCAGGUUUUUUGCUGUAGAUAAUAACAAUUAUUAUCUAACUCAGCAACAUGCAUCGCUAUAGACACAAUGAAGAAGUUGCCAGAUAUAUUAUAAUUAUAUCGUAGGGUGUAGAUAAUUUAUGAUGAUCAUUGCAAACGGUGUCAAUGAGUACAAUGCAGCAAUUUGAUUAGGGCUAGCUUCCCCUGGGGUGCAAAAUUUAGUUUAGAGAAAUUCAUAACUUAUUUUUCUAAUUUUUUAGUUUCUGCUGGUGGAAGACAUGCAAGAUCAUAUCAUUUAUUUUGUCCUGAGGACAAUUAGUUUGUUAUUACAGGCUGCUUUGCUUUCUCUUCUUCCAGCACACUUACUGAAGAUCUCACCGGCCAAGCAACUGACAGCCACCUCUCUGAAACCCCUGGUUGCUUGGGUAUGCUUUUAUGCCUCUAUCAUGCGAUUCAUUUCAAUAUCCCCUCCCUAUCUUGACUAAUAUUGAGAAAGACUAAUUUUUUACCAGAAUAGGUUGUUGGGAAUUUAUGCGAGAUUAAAUAAAUGCGGAAUAAACUAAAUUAUAUCUCAAACUCCCACUUCUAGAUAAGCAAUCAAUAAUAAAAUUGUAAAUAAUAAAGCAGAGGGAAAAUUGAGAAUGACCCCAAAAAUUAUAUUGGUUCACCCCAAAUUGGGACUACGUCCUGUCUUCUGCAAUUGCAGAUUCUACUAUGAUGAAGAUUGAAAAGACACCCAAAUCCAUGUUACAGGUCUCUUUGCUCAAAUAGCCGAACAAGAACUAUUUGAGUUCAAGUACCACACUGAGGUAAUUUAAAAUAAACAAUAGGAGAAAUCCUUAACCCAAUUCCUCACUGCCACACUAAAAUAACACUCUGGAAUUUUAUUCCGUUUGGUAUAUUAUUCUUCAUUCUCUCCAGUGACAAAGACUCUUGGCCAACUUCAAUUUUCUUCUUCAAUGGCAAAGGCUCACGGCACAUACAUGUGCUGCAAUUUCCUCAUUCCAACUUUUCUCUUUUUAAAGACAAUGUCACGACUCCAUUUUCUUUUAAUUGUGGAUGGAUUCCGAACCUGAAAAGCAGAAAAAUCCCAACAAGAUUAAACAGAGACAAAACAGAGAUAGUACUCUGUUACAAUAUAUUGUGAUAUAAAUAAAAAUGUAUCACAAAACAUAUAUAAACCCAGAAAACAGAAGGAAAGAACAAGAGAAACAACCAGCUCCUUUGAGAAGGCUGGAAACCUUUUCUAAUGAAGCCUACAACAACUUUCACCCAAAAGAAAACAUAAAAAAGCUAAAACAGCAAUCCAGAAAACAUUCCAUAUAAACACCAAAUCCCAUAGUGGGCCCUCAGGUGUUGCUUCUCUCUCUCUGCUCCCCGAAUUACCAAAAGCCAUGUCAAUUCCCUUUUCUGCCCCUUCUCUUGUAUGUGUGUAAUAUUGGGGGUCUAACAUCACCACUUGGCUCGAAACUCACCUUGUCCUUAAGGUGGAAUGCAGGAACUUGUUGCUCCAUUAAGUGUACUGUUUCCCAUGUACCUUUGCUAUCCGGUAACCCUUUCCACUUGACCAGCUACUGAUUUGCUGCUAUUUCUCUAUUCCAUCUGAUUCCCAUAACGGUUUCCGGCCUCAAUUGCAAUUCAAACGCUUUGAUCAGCAUGGGAGGAAAGUGUGUUGGACCCUUUGUGUUUGACCCAACUUAAGUUUUAGUUGGGAUACAUGAAAGACAUUAUGAAUACAUGCUUCUGGUUGUAAUUCUAAGUGAUACGCCACUUCCCCAAUUCUUUCAAUUACUCGGUAAGGUCCAUAGAAUUUAGGUGAAAGUUUCUCACUUCUUUUUUUGCUAAAGAUCUCUGUCUAUACUGCCUUAAAUUCAAGUAUACUUCAUCCUCUACUUGGAAAAUAAGUUCUCUCUGAUGUAAAUCAGCUUGCUUUUUCAUCCUAUUCUGAGCCACCACCAAGUUUUCUUUCAAUGCAUUGAUUAUCAAAUCUCUCUCCAUCAACAAUUUAUCAGCACUGUUAUUCACUGUUUUCCUCUCUCCAUAUGAGAUGAUCGGUGGUGGAAAUCUCCUAUAGACAGCUUGGAAUGGUGUUGUUUUUGAGGAACUAUGAAAAGUGGUGUUGUACCAAAGUUCUGCCCACAGAAUACACUUGUACCAUUUUCCUAGUUGUUCAAUGCAAAAACACCUCAGAAAAGUUUCCAAAGAUCUAUUAACUCGUUCGGCUUUCCCGUCGGUUUGUGGAUGAAAUGCGGUGCUUCUCUUCAACACAGUCCCCAUUCCCGUGAACAAAGCCUUCCAAAAGUUACUCAAAAUUAUUUUAUCCCUAUUGGUAAUGAGUAAUUCUGGUAUCCUGUGUUUACUCACAACCCUUUUGAUGAAUACCUCUGCCAUUUGUUUAGCUAUAAAAGGAUGCUUGAGAGGGACGAAAUGGCCAAUCUUACUCAACCUAUCCACCACCACCAUGAUAGAGUUAAAACCCCCGGCCUUGGGUAGGCCCUCUACGAAGUCCAUGGUCCAAUCUUCUAAAAUCAAUUCCAGUAUGAGUAGGGGUUGAAGUAAUCCAGCUGGUGAAAGAGAUUCAGUUUUGGUCCUUUGACAAACCUCACAGCUCUCAACAUACUUUUUUACAUCUGAUUUCAUCCCCACCCAAAACCAGAAUGUCCUCUCAAGAUUGAAUCAUGAAAUAUGUGUAAAAGAGAUGGUAUGAGAGAUGACGAACGAGGUAAUACUAACCUUCCUUUAUAUCUCAGCUGGUCAUUCUUCCACUCAUACCUUGGGUUUCCCUCCGAAUCCAACUUCAGUACAACUAUGAUUUUCUGUAGUUCCUCGUCCUCGUCAACUUCUUUCAUUAUUGUUUCCACAUCCACGAUUUCUGGAGCCGUCAUUACAUGGUGUUCAAUCGAAUGGGGAAUUCGAUAUAAUGCAUCGACUGCUUUGUUUUGAAGUCCGGGUUGGUACAAUAUCUAGAAGUCGUAACCCAACAAUUUCGUUAACCAUUUCUAGUAUGAGGGUUGCACUUUCUGUUGUUCUAUUAGGAAUUUGGGUGCCUUCUGAUAAGAGAUUAUUGUAAAUUUCCUUCCCAAUAGACAGUGCCUCCACUUCUGCACUGAUAAAACCACUACCAUGAGUUCCUGUUGAAAUGUUAAGAGUCACACAUUGAAAAAACCAAGGAGACUCACAUUUCUUAUAAGAUAGAUGAGCUACUCCUCUCAUUGCCAAUUGGUUUUGAGAUGGAACUCCAUACUAUCAUCCCUUUCCUGAUAGAUUUAGUCUGUGCGCGGUGCGGAAGUUUCUAACUAAAGAAGGCCACUGGGCUUGAAUUCUGUGAUAAUACUUCUCCAAACCCAAAACCAAAUGUGUCAGUUUUGAUAGCAAAAGGGAGUGUAAAGUUAGGGAGAGCCAAUACUAGUACUAGAAUUAUUGCUCUUAUGAAAAUGAUCCAUUCAAUUUUUUGUUUGUUCAAGACUCCCGCCUCAUAAGAAGUAUGAAAUACAAAUAAGUAAAGUAGGAAAGGGAAAGAAAAAGUAUAGCUAGCUUGAUUACCUUUUGAUACCAUAUGUAGUUUGUUCAUUAGAUAUGAGAAAUCAACCUAAUAACAAUCAAGAUUUUUCUUUUAAAAGAAUUAUUCUUCUAAACGUAUUUUGGGUUUAUUGACUCUGUUUUCAGCUAAUAUACUUGCUUACACUGCAGUUGCAUGACAAUUUCCAUGUUAGAAACCAAGCGAGGUCGGAGGGUUCUAUUAAUUCAGCUCUAGCUCAUGCUCUUGAAACGCAUGAAGGGACUUCAGAGGAGGUAGAUUCAGUUAUCAAUGUCUGUGUAAUGUUAAUUUGAAAAAUAAGUUUUUUUUAAAAGAAUAUGAUGACAUUGCACCAAAUGAAAAAAAACUAUAAAAGCCCAAAUGAGAAACCAUUACAAUUUACAACGAAACCAAAAACUAAUGUUAGAUGGGUCCAAUUUUUUUUUCUUGUGACCUCUAUGAAGCACAUAUAUGUCAUGUGAGGUCGAGAAUCAAUAUCAUUGCGUAUUAGAUACUAAUAUUCCUCGAUACUUCUUAGAUAAGUAUCUGAUGAUCUUUUUUCUUUAUCAUUUGAUACGUGUGUCCUUUACACACUUCUAGAACUAAGGAACCUAUUUACCCUAACCCAAAACUAAAAGAAAACAAAAAUAGAAACCAUGCCCUAGAAUCAUGUAAUGUUCAUAUUCAUGCCUUAGGCAGGCAAAAAAUUAACCUACUUGAUUUUCUUCAACAAUUCAACAAAGAAAUUCCUCUUUUAUCUUCGUACUUCUCUCUUCAAUCUUCUUCUCCGAUUGAUCUGACUCCAGGGCGCCGCUAACCAUCUCUUUUAUAGUUUACUGACUAUUGUAUUUCAAUGUAUCUGAUGUUGCCUUUUGUGUUGUAUUUUUUUAUUGCAAGUUAAUCUUUUUUUUUCUUUCAAGUUGAUUGCAUUAGUAUCUUUAUAUUAUAUUUAUAUAUUUCAUGAUUUCAAAAAAAAUGUAUCCCUCAUAUUCGUAAUUUGGUUUUUUUUAGAAAUUGAUGUAUCGUCAUAUAUGUAUCUUAUAUUAGUAUCCUCGUUAGUAUGCUUUCUUUCUUGUUCUAAUACUCCUUUCUUGUUUUAGGAAUUGACGUAUUGUUGUGUAUGUACCUUAUAUUAGUAUCCUUGUUAGUAUGCUUUCUUUCUUGUUCUAAUACUCCUUCCUUCCUCCUAACUUAUGGCUACUAACCUAUUAUUGCACUUGCUCUUCCCAAUCUUGCCCAUCUCCUGUGAUGGAGUGGAACUACUACAUAUGGUCCAUCUACUUUGACUGUAAAGUUUUCUCUAUAGCUAUUGACAAAUACUGCAGAGGUAGCCAGAGUUGGGAACAAAGCUAUAACUUCUCUCACUCUAAUGCCGACGCACUUCAAUUACUUUUUCUUUAUUGUUGGUGCAAUAUUUAAUAAUUACCAUUCUAUUACUGUGAUAAGUAUUUCAACAAGUGUUUUUCCCCCUUCAGAUUGCUGCAUUGACCGUAGUGCUUUUUAGAGCUUUGGAUAUAACAGCUCGGUAGGCUUUCAAUUUCAAAAUAAUUGUUUACUAAUUAUUCUUGUCUUAUGAAUGUUUUUUUGGCUCAUACCUCCAAAAAUGCUAUGGGCCUGCUUAUAUUAAUUAAUUAUUUGUUGUCCUUAACAAAAUACAAGCAUUUAAAUAUCACCUCUUUUGACACAUCAUUCCUACAUAUUUUGCUUGUGGCAAUCUGAAUAUUCUUUCUUUUGUGUUGUUUGUAUCUCUUGCUAUGCUAGGAUUGGAGCUUAUAUAUCCUCAUGCACAUUCGUGUGAACUUUUUUGUUUGUUUAUAACAAGAGUUCAUUUCAAUGAGAAAAAAACAUAAAAUAUGCAAAAAGGUGGACAUAAAACAUCAAAUUGUGCUAAAGAAGUUACAGAAAGGUCUUCCAAUACCACAAAGAUAAGAAUAAUGAUGGCUAAAAUUAGGCUUGGUCAACCUACACCAGGACAAAAACUCAAACAAUAUGAGAAUGUACUUUCUUCUUUUUUUAUUUUUAAUAUCCGUGAGUGUCAUGGCCAGCUUACGUGCACCUCAACUAAUUUCAUGGGACAACCCGUCUGACCCUACAACAUUUAGGUGUCAAGGUAACUUGUAGGAAAUUAAUUCAUAGGUAGGUGGCCACUAUGGAUUGAACCCGUGACCUUUUAAUUAGUUAUUGGGACUAUGUCUUCUUUUUACCACUAGGCCAACCCACGAUAAUGUACUUUUUUCUCUUGAACGGUUAUAUUUUUCCAUUCCGAUAAUCUUUUUUUAAAAGAAGGCUUUAAUGAAAUUCAUCAGAAGCUUGGUUUCAAAUUCAGGUGGGUUGUUGUUCAAGCAAAAUGGAGAAGGCUAAUACUGAUGUUGCAGAUAGUGUUGUGCAAGUUGAUUGCAUUACCAAAUGCUUUACUUGCUUUGGAUGAAAUAGUCAUCAGCUGAUGAUGUUGAGUUUUCUUAGGCAAAUAUUUUUCAUUUUUUUACUGAUUAAAUAGCACCAUGGCUUUAGAAUCGUGUACUUUUCCUUGACUGUUCUCUAGUUUGACAUCUUUCUGCAAUCUAAUUUUAGGUUAGAUGUGUUGAUUUUAUGGAAUUAAUCUAUAUUUCAUUCAUUAUUUAAUAGAGAUACAAGCCUAUAUAUAACCAUAGAGAAAUACACUUAAGGAAAUAAUAUCAAAUAAUAUUUCCAGAAUAAUAUCUCCUAAGAAUAAUCUAAUUAUAUUAAUACCCUCCCUCAAACUCAAGGUUGAAAUCACAAACUUGAGUUUGCUAAGAACUAAGAAAAGAAACAAUAUAUCUAGAAUAGAAUAAAAAACCCGAAGAACAAACUGACAAAGAACUUCUAGGUUAAAACAAACCCACGAAAAACUUCUGGGAUAGAAACAUAGAUCCUCGUAUAGAGAUCUAUAACAGAACCUAGGAAGAACGAAACAAGAACUUCGGGGGGCAAAAUGAAAGAGCAAAACUGAAGCAAAGUAGAAUCAAAGCUGGACGAAAACAGGGUCGGAAUUGGACAGAAGUGUUUUGUCGGAUCAAAAUGGAACCGAACGAACUAAACUAGAGCAAGUCAGAAUCAGAUUAAACGGGAAAUCUGGGGCGAACAGAACGGAAACUGAACUGAAUGGAGCAGAGAGGCUUAGCGGAUCUGAACAAAAACAGAAACGAGGCGUCGUUGGAUCUGGGCUUCGAUCUAAACUUUGAAGGCAGACAUGAAGGAUGGGUCUGAACGAAAUUAGACAGAUCUGGAACAGAUUGGAGGCAGACGCGAGGAUCUGAGGACAUGGGGUUUCAUGGUUUUGUUGGGACAGCGUAAGGAGAUGGAGCAACGGCAACGAAACGCAGCGGCGAGCGGAGCUUCUUGGACGACGGAAAAAACUGAAACUCUUCGGCUGGGCGUUCGGCUUCAACUGACAGAGGUUCAAUCGGUUGCUUGGCUAACGGAAAAACAAGAGGUCGGACGAAGAACUAUGAAGGAGAUGGCCGCCGCAGACGCUAGUGAAAAACGAAUGGGGUUUCUGGGGUUUGGAUGGUGGCAGAUUUGAACAGCAAUGAGUGACAAAGGGAAGGUGCAACGACAACGGCAAAUUUGCAGAUCUAAGGGGCGGCUUCAGCUAAUGGGAGAUGAUUCCACCUCCGUUGAUGAAUGAUCAACGGAGGUAGAGAUCAAACGGGAUGUGGAGGCUAGAACUCAAUAAGGCGAAAACCCUAGAGCUCUGAUACCAUGUUGAUUUUAUGGAAUUAAUCUAUAUUUCAUUCAUUAUUUAAUAGAGAUACAAGCCUAUAUAUAACCAUAGAGAAAUACACUUAAGGAAAUAAUAUCAAAUAAUAUUUCCAGAAUAAUAUCUCCUAAGAAUAAUCUAAUUAUAUUAAUAAGAUGAUGGUUUGUUGUUCUCUACCUUCAUUCUAAACUUUUUCCAUGAGUAAAAUUUUGUUUCCAUUAGGGAAAAAAAAAGAAAAAAAAAAGGAAUAUGUAAGGAUUCUACUUGAUUACUUCACUGUUUCUCCCUUACAAUGGCAAAAACAGAGGCAGCACUCUGUUAUCUUUAUUUAUAUAUAGCCAAAAUGAGUACAGAAAUCAUAAAGAUUCAAAGAAACAAAGAACAAUAAAGACAAACCCAGCUUCCUCUUGGGAAAACUGGAUAUUCUCCUAGGCUAAGCAGCCGCCAACUUAAGGAUAAAAUAAAACCUACCUCCCCUGGACCUAAAAGACCUAUUUAUAUUCCUCCUCUCAUCUUUCUCUUAUUUCUGUGCCUAGGCCCCAUACGCACGAUCUCCUCCCCUUUUUCCUUCAUUAUUAAUCAUUUGUCCAUUUACUUUUCUGCCCCUCCUUUGAUAUGUGUGAAUGAUUGGAGGUCUUACAGAAUACUGAUUUAUUUUCUGUUACUUUUAGAUUCCAUUCCAUAUAUUUUUUUAAAAAUGAACUGCUAGUUUGUUUUAUUAUUAUUAUUUUUUAUAACUAUGCUGCAUUUUAAAGAGCUAAUUAAUCAAUAAGAUCCCAUAUUUUUAAUUUCCAGGUUUGUAUCUAUUUUGGACGUUGCUCCUAUAAAACCAGAGGCCGAAAGAUCUAAAUGUUUUAGCCAAGACAUAGGCAGAUCAAGUAGAAACAUUUUCAAGAACUCAACUUUGAUGGUAGAUAAAGCAGAAGCAGUUGAUAAAGAUUCUCUUACAUCACGUUGUCUUGACAAGAAGGAUAAUCCCCGGAAAAGAACUUCUGGUGAUAAUCGUGAAAGCAAUGCAGUCAAUUUAGUAGGCAAGAAAACUCACGUCCUUAAUGCUUUGUCUAGCACCGGAAGUUCUAGUUGUAACUCAAAACCUGAUAUCUCUGAAACCUUCCCCCCCAAGAACUCUCAGGUACAGAAGAGGAAGGGGGAUAUUGAGUUUGAAAUGCAGUUACAAAUGGCUCUCUCCGCUACAGCAGUUGAGACUAUGCCCAGUAAUUCUAGCAUAAAUCACUUAAACGAGCCUCCUUUGAACUUUCCUCCGUCUAAAAAACUGAAAAGAAUUGUUAAUGAAGAAUCUGCCUCUUCUCAUGGAAUCUCCACUGCUGUUGGUUCAAGCAAGGAGGGAUCUCCCUUGUAUUGGGCAGAAGUAUACUGCAAUGCAGAGAACUUGACAGGUAAGUGGGUACACAUUGAUGCUGUAAAUAUGGUUGUUGAUGGAGAGCACAAAGUGGAGGACUUAGCUGCUGCAUGCAAAACAUCUUUGAGAUAUGUGGUUGCUUUUUCUGGGCUUGGUGCGAAAGAUGUGACUCGCAGGUCUUCUUUCCUUACUCCCUUUUUUCAAGCUGAUAAUUGAGCUGGGCAAAUGUUCUUUUUAUUCUCUGUUAUCUUUUGAAAUUUAUUCAUGUUUUCUUGAUCUUACCAAUUUACAUACCAAGAGGUGAGGCAUUCGUUGAAGGGGGAAGGAGGAAUUGAAUUUGUUUGUUUAGCAUGCUAGACGAUGGAACAUUGCAUUGCAUUCUUGGAUUUGUAUGAUUAACUGUAACAAUCCCGAAAGAGAGAUGAUUAUUUAAAAUUACCUGCAGUUUUUCAACGAUGUUAUCAUGCUUGGUAGUCUGGAUGCCAUUAUGCUUUGUCAUUAGAAGUUUAGAAUGUGGGGUGGAUAAUGGAAGUAUUUUUUAGUGAGAGAUCUGGAUCCUUCAACAAUACGUGCACGUAAGCUCUUCUAUUCGCUAUACAUGUACUUAGGCUGCAACUACUUUCUUCAAAUGGCGAAAACAGGAUAACAAUGGUAACUUCAUUGUGCAUUCAUUUUUGUAAUGCAAUGCCAAGUUUUUGUAACUAACCAAAUACUAUAAUACAUGCUUAUUUAUAUCUUCCUCCUAAUAAAAAUUUUAUUUUCUAUUUGAUCAGAAAACUUCUGUAUUAAUUUGUAAUUUACAUAGAGGAGGAUAUUUAGUUUUAGUGGCCAUGACCAUUAUAAAGAGGAGUUUUCCCAUGGCAGCAAAAUAAGCAAUUUAUAUUUAGGGAUUGUUAUUGUCCAUAUCGUUUCUUAUAAAAGGUCCAUGGAAUUCCAUGGACACUUUUUGUAUUUGUUGUUUGGGUAUAAAUGGGCAUGUCAGUGACUAUUAUGCUGUCAUUUAUCAGUACAUCUCAUGUCUCCCCAUUUUUUUCUUUCCCUUGUGAGGAGUGGCGAGGAUUUUUCCAAUGUUAUGACAUGAAAAUUUGGUUUUUGGACGUACGUUACUCCAGCUUUUGAGCCUAAUUAUUUUGACUUUAAGGAUUUUAUUGUCAUCUUAUUUGCAGAUAUUGUAUGAAGUGGUACAAGAUUGAAGCAAAACGAGUUAAUACUCUUUGGUGGGAUAAUGUAUUGGCCCCAUUAAGGAUACUUGAAGGACAGGCAGUGAGGGGCACUGGUCACUUGGAAAAGUGCUGCAUUGAUGACUUGAUGGAACAAGAUAAAUUGAAAAUGUCAGACUUGUCAGAUAACUUGAAGCAGAAAAAUCUUCUAGAUGAUGGUAACCAGUCAGGGAAGUCUGAUCACAAUGUGUCAGAAGGGCUUGUCACUGACCGAGACUUUUCUUUGGGUAAUCAAGUUGCUACCAGAGACCAUCUCGAGGAUAUAGAAUUAGAAACUCGGGCACUCACUGAACCUCUUCCAACUAAUCAGCAGGUGGAUGAUUUAUCUCAAACUAUGCCUGAUAUUUAGAUUAUUAAGCUUUAAUUUGAAAAAUGCUGUUUGAAUUGCAGGCUUACAAAAACCAUCGUUUAUAUGCCCUUGAAAAAUGGCUAACCAAGUAUCAGAUACUUCAUCCAAAGGGUCCUGUUCUGGGUUUUUGUUCUGGAUAUCCAGUUUACCCUAGAACCUGUGUCCAAGUGCUUAAGACAAAGCACAAGUGGUUGCGUGAGGGACUGCAAGUCAGAUCUAAUGAACUACCUGUUAAGGUUUGAUUAAUCUUCACUUCAUUAUCAGAUGGUCAUUUUCUUAUUCUUAUCUUUAUAUUUUAAUUGCAUGUUUCAGGAGUUGAAACGUUCCAUAAAGAAAAUCAAAAUACUAGAAUCUGAAGCUGAUGACUUUGAUCAGGGUGAUUCCCAAGGAACCAUUCCACUCUAUGGGAAGUGGCAGUUAGAACCAUUGCAACUGCCUCGUGCAGUUGAUGGGAUUGUACCAAAAGUGAGCUCUUUUAUAUUUUAUUUUAUUUUUAUUUUUAUUUUAAGCCUUUUGGAUAAACUGAUCGCUUGUAGUGCUCAAGACAUUGGACGCAACCUUCUGCCUUCUGAGAGAUUUCAUAACAUUUGUUUCUAUAAGAAAUUGUUGAUAUUAAUCAUGGGACCAAAAAAAGUGACCAUGCAUUUUAUUUUGUCUCCUGCGUCUUCUAAUUAUGAUGUUUACCCAUGAGAAUUGAUGUGGACUAAUCUUCAACAAUAAUGAAUUGUACUAUCAAGGUUUCUUUCUUGUUGAUAAGAAGUAAACUUGGAGUACAGGCCAGGAAGUACUCUAGCUUCAUAAAGAAUUACACAUUUCUCUCAAUCCCUUUGGUUAGUAAUAUUUUAUGCUACAUGGGUUAUCUUGUAUAGCUUUAAAGGGGCAGAGAGCUAUCUUUUGUUAUGGACAUUUCUUAGCAAUUUACCCUCGCUAAAUUUCUGUGAAUAUGUUCUAUUGAUGCGUUUCACUCUGAUAUGUAUAGAACCUCGAGACACUUAUUGAACCUUAAAUUCCCCAUUUUUGCUUGUUCACAACUCCUUAUGUUGUUACUCGUUCAGCAGACGCUAAUUAUUGCAUUCUACCUUAUAGAAUGAACGUGGUCAAGUGGAUGUGUGGUCUGAAAAGUGCCUUCCCCCAGGAACUGUGCACAUCAGGUUGCCCAGGGUGUUCAGUGUUGCCAAGAAGCUGGAAAUUGAUUAUGCACCUGCCAUGGUUGGCUUUGAAUUUCGAAAUGGCCGAUCAUAUCCUAUUUAUGAUGGGAUUGUUGUUUGUUCCGAGUUUAAAGAUGUAAUAUUAGAGGUUGGUAUUUCCCAAUGUAGUUCCCAAGAUAAUAAGGAUGGUAAAUUUUUAACGAUAUGCAAUAAAUUAUUUCUAGGUUAAAUUUUUAACGAUAUGCAAUAAAUUAUUUCUAGGUUCAUUUACUUUCAACAUUUUAGUGACUUACCUUGGACAAAUUUGUAUUUUUCUUACACUUCUAAGUUUCUAACUAUACUCCUUCCAUGUUCUAAUUUCCAACCAUCAUAUCUAGAGACAGACCAAUCUCCAUCUAUUAUAGCUCAAGUUUUAUGAUCAUUUCUUCUUGUAUGUUUCUCAACUCAAACCACCCUGUUUCAUAUACAGACAUACAAUGAGGAAGCAGAGAGAAUGGAGGCUGAAGAGAGAAGACUGAGAGAAAAACAAGCUAUUUCAAGAUGGUAUCAGCUUCUUUCUUCGAUCAUAACUCGGCAAAGGUUGAACAGCCGUUAUGGGGAUAGUGAGAAUCUAUCGCAAGUGACGAGUGACAUCCGGAACAUGCAUGAUGAGCGUAAUGCAGAUGUUCCUUCUUGUCAAGAGGAUGUAGAACCUUUCAAGGGCCAGCCGGAUAACUUAAGUAAUACUAAUAUGGAUGCUCCAUCUUUUAUCAAUCAGGAUCACAAGCAUGUAUUCCUGUUAGAGGAUCAAAUUUUUGACGAGAAAAGUUUGGUUGUGACAAAACGCUGUCAUUGUGGUUUUUCUGUUCAAGUCGAAGAAUUGUAGCAAUGUUAGUGUUUGUUGAAACUUUUUCCAUUGUCUAUUAGUGGUGUUGAUAUGUGUUAAAUUUUGUAGUGUAUUCUUCUCAGAAUAACAACCGAAAAUCAAAACAAAUUAGCAUAUAUUUGCAGUAGAAUCACAUCAUUCUCAAACGUGCCAUUAUCUGUUACCUAUGUUGGCGUUGUUUAUUGAAAUUUGUGUUUGAGUCUGCUUUUAAAACAAGUAAAUUAAAACAAUUUUAGUAUUAAAAAUUAUCAUUUUAGCCAACAUGCUUUUAGUAUAUUACUUAAAUUACAAGAUUUAAGGACAAAAUUUUGUUAUUUGGUUGUACACUUUCUAAAGCACUCUAGGCUAUUUAUUUAUUGUGGUGAAGUAUGGUCAGAGAUGUUUAAGAAAAGUUACUGAAGCUUGAGCUACAGUUAUUUAUAUAUUGUUUUAGUAUUUUUAUAAUGUUAAUUUUGGUCUAUAUAUUUUAAGAGUGUUGAAAGACGAGGGAGUAACCCAUUUUCUUCUUUCAUUGAAAUGAACAUUAAUAAAGGAUCUAAAUGAACAUCUGAAACUAUAUGGACAAGAAUGAACUAAAGCUAUAAGUCUAGUACAGAAUGUAUAUAAAUCUUAUAAAUUCCAUUCAAUUGUUAUUCUGGUGAUUUCAAAUACGAAAAUGAAGUAGCUCUACUCAUUGUGUGGUUAGUAAUUGUCCUACUAGAGCAUUAAAAUACUUUUAUGAGACAUUAAUUUUCAAGUUACUAAUAUGACCAUCGAUAAUUGAAAUAUAUAACGGUCAAAUUUAUUUGAUCAGUUUUUCCUUUUUCUUUUUUUCUCUGAUCUCCGACUAUGACAAAGGAUGAAAAUAAAAUCCACAAAGAAAGAAAAAAAUGAAGCUAAAAUCAUGGUAGAGAAAAGAAAAGGUGUAAUAUUUUUUGGGCUCUAAGGGCAUUUGGGACCUCCUUGCUGAGUUUUCCAGUUAUUGUAGCAUGGACAUUCUUGCUUGUUUCCAUAUGUCCCUGAAGGCACACACAGACAUUUUGCACAACAUUUUUGGCAGAAGAACAUGCAUGGCUUCCUGUGCGUUGUCGCCGAGCAUCGAUAACUGCAUUUCGGCUUGCAAUCUGUUCUCCCAAAGUACUUAAAAGAGUGAGUUUGACACCACACAUCAUUCAAACGGUUUCACAUUACUUAUAUAUGUUGGUAAAUUUGAGUCCUUGUGAAGACUAAUAAUUUCAAAAGAAUAUAUCCAUGAAUAAUAUAUCUAUUCAAAAGAAUAUGCUUCACUUUAAAGUAUUACUUCCAAAAGACAUGCAAAGUGGUUCAUUCUUGUUCGAGAAAAAAAAAAAAAAACUAAUUCAACAAUAGUAUUAUCAUAUAUAAACAUUAUUCAAGGUUAUUCCUUUUGAUCAACAAAAGCAAAGGAAAAAAGAAAAGAAUUAUGAUAAGUACCUGAAGGGCGUAAGUUUAAAGCACCCUGUUGAAAUUAAAAAAAAAAAAAAAAAAUUAUUAUUAUAUAUAUAUCUAGAAUUACUUAAUAGAAAAAAAUAACUUAAGGCCUACAAUUUUAUGCAUUCAAAAUACAUUUGAAAAGGAAAAAAUAGUAAAAGAAAUAAAAUGAUAAGAACAUAUAUAUACCUCAGCCAAAUGCAGAUUAGAGAUAGUGAGAAGAAAGAGGAUGGAGAAGAGAAAGAAGGAAUAGGUGAAAGAGGAUGCCAUUUUGUGGGUUAUAAUUAUAAUAUUGUAAAAGUUUGAAAUAGAUUUGAGUGUCAUGAGAGUGAUUACUUAUAGAAGUUUUGUGAUUAAAUUACAUUCAUAUUUGUAACGACGUUAAAGACGAUGAGUUUGGAGUCGCUUCAAUUUAGGAUUCAAAAGUGAGAGCGGUGAAAGCGGCGUGUUUGAUGUCCGUUUCUUUUAAUUUUCUAUAUGCCUUUUUCUCUUAACUCAUUGCAUUACUGUUGGAAACGUACCGGCCUUCCUUAUAAAUAACUCUCAAAUAACAUACUACCAAUAAUGGCUAGAGCUGUUACUAAACCCAACCAAUAACCAAAUUAAACUAAUCCCUUUCAUACACACUACCAUUGCUUCACACGUUUUCUCUAAAUUCAGAAACCAAGAAGGUUCAAUUCAAUACAAAAAAAAAAUCAAACCGAACCAUUGGAUCGUUUGAAUUGGUUUGAUUUGCUACCUAAUGUUAAAAACUCCACGUAAAAAGUUCAUUUUGAGAUGAAAUCUCAUGCUUUCUAAUUUCAGUUGUGUGAUAUUUUGAACUCCACUUUGAAAAUUGUAUGUUAAAAUAAUUACAUAAUGGAAAUUUUUACUUGGUUAAUUUGUAAUAAAGUUUUUCCAAAAGAGUUAUGAAUUUUCAGUUAUGAUUUUUCAAAGUGAAGUUAAGUUUAUGGGUGAAUAAUCAGUUUCUGGGUAAGAUAGAGGUUGGUUGAGUGACAAGCUUUGCUAGGUGAGAUGUGUGUGUGUUGAUGAAGAAAGAGGUUAGUGAUGUGUUAGGCUUAUGUUGAGCGUGCGACACUACCUGAAUGCAAGGUAGACAACGUGCAAGGCGCACGUAGCCAAGGAGGCACACGACAAACUUUGCACAAGGGGGCAUGUGAGAUGCUCGACAUGCAGCCAGGUGAGGCUCGCGAAGUGCCUGUGCGUGAGGUUAGCAUGCCGCAAGGCUGGGCAAGCUCUACUCGCGUAACCAAGCGCUUGUCGCCCAUGUAUGGGCUCCAAUUUGUGUCAAUGAAUGUUUUGGUCAAUUUUGGUGUUUUGUUUGGAAUUCCUAAGUUAAUUUUUUGUAUUUU